GACGAACGCUGGCGGCGUGCUUAACACAUGCAAGUCGAACGAUGAAGCCGGAGCUUGCUCUGGUGAAUUAGUGGCGAACGGGUGAGUAACACGUGAGUAACCUGCCCUUGACUCUGGGAUAACUGCGGGAAACUGUAGCUAAUACCGGAUACGACCCUCGGAGGCAUCUCCUGGGGGUGGAAAGAAUUUCGGUCAAGGAUGGACUCGCGGCCUAUCAGGUAGUUGGUGAGGUAAAGGCUCACCAAGGCGACGACGGGUAGCCGGCCUGAGAGGGUGACCGGCCACACUGGGACUGAGACACGGCGCAGACUCCUACGGGAGGCAGCAGUGGGGAAUAUUGCACACUGGGCGCAAGCCUGAUGCAGCAACGCCGCGUGAGGGAUGACGGCCUUCGGGUUGUAAACCUCUUUUAGCAGGGAAGAAGCGAAAGUGACGGUACCUGCAGAAAAAGCACCGGCUAACUACGUGCCAGCCGCCGCGGUAA
Molecule: ribosomal RNA, 484 nt
Filed under: uncultured bacterium
Lineage: Bacteria
Description: partial 16S ribosomal RNA
Rfam family: Bacterial small subunit ribosomal RNA
Source: RNAcentral